Molecule: ribosomal RNA, 468 nt
Filed under: uncultured bacterium
Lineage: Bacteria
Description: partial 16S ribosomal RNA
Rfam family: Bacterial small subunit ribosomal RNA
Source: RNAcentral
GACGAACGCUGGCGGCGUGCUUAACACAUGCAAGUCGAACGGUAAGUCCCUUCUUUUGUUGGGUUCUCGUGUUUCUCCCUCUUGACUAACCCUUUCCUCACCUUCCCUUUCCUUUGUUCUCCCUUCCAGUACCUGGGGCUCCUCCCGGAUCGGCGCUCCUGCUGCAUGGUGUGGGUAGGCCCGUUUCGGCGGUUGGGGCUGGCCUCGCUGCGUCUCAGCUUGUUGGUGGGGUAGUGGCUUACCCCGGCAUUGACGGGUAGCCGGACUGAGAGGGUGACCGGCAACAUUGGGACUGAGAAAAGGCACAGACUCCUACGGGAGGAAGCAGUGGGGAAUAUUGCACAAUGGGCGGAAGCCUGAUGCAGCAAGGCCGAGUGCGGGAUGACGGCCUUCGGUGUGUAAACCGCUGGCGCCUGUGACGAAGCGUGAGUGACGGUAAUGGGUAAAGAAGCACCGGCUAACUACGUG